GACGAACGCUGGCGGCGUGCUUAACACAUGCAAGUCGAACGGAAAGGCCCUGCUUUUGUGGGGUGCUCGAGUGGCGAACGGGUGAGUAACACGUGAGUAACCUGCCCUUGACUUUGGGAUAACUUCAGGAAACUGGGGCUAAUACCGGAUAGGAGCUCCUGCUGCAUGGUGGGGGUUGGAAAGUUUCGGCGGUUGGGGAUGGACUCGCGGCUUAUCAGCUUGUUGGUGGGGUAGUGGCUUACCAAGGCUUUGACGGGUAGCCGGCCUGAGAGGGUGACCGGCCACAUUGGGACUGAGGUACGGCCCAGACUCCUAAGGGAGGCAGCAGUGGGGAAUAUUGCACAAUGGGCGGAAGCCUGAUGCAGCAACGCCGCGUGCGGGAUGACGGCCUUCGGGUUGUAAACCGCUUUCGCCUGUGACGAAGCGUGAGUGACGGUAAUGGGUAAAGAAGCACCGGCUAACUACGUG
RNAcentral lists this ribosomal RNA (468 nucleotides) under uncultured bacterium. Its description in RNAcentral is "partial 16S ribosomal RNA". It matches the Rfam family "Bacterial small subunit ribosomal RNA", at positions 28 to 507 of the family's 1533-position model. The record is from RNAcentral.